This 349-nucleotide transfer-messenger RNA is filed under the name Oscillospiraceae. RNAcentral describes it as "Limivicinus sp902778665 Standard tmRNA". It matches the Rfam family "transfer-messenger RNA". From Rfam's summary of the family: Bacterial tmRNA, also known as 10Sa RNA or SsrA, is named for its dual tRNA and mRNA-like properties. Its role is to liberate the mRNA from a stalled ribosome. Lineage: Bacteria; Bacillati; Bacillota; Clostridia; Eubacteriales. The record is from RNAcentral. RNAcentral also lists the same sequence under 1 other name.
GGGGGUGUACCGGUUUCGACGGGGAGACAGAGGCAGGAAUAGCGGGCAGAUGUGCCUGGCAUCUAUAAAACGGGCAUUUUUAUAAAUUAAAGAACAACGAUAACACUGUUCUUCUCGCUGCUUAAUCAGUGAGCGUUCUGCCUGAGAGUACCACGGCUCGGGACAGGGCGUCGACUAGUGGUGAACGUGCGUACGCUAAGCUUUGCGCGUGCCAUGCAUCAUGAAGCUACCAAACCCCGGAGAGUGACGGCUCUCGCCGGGGCGAGGGAAUGCAAAUAACCGUCUGCGCCCGGAGAAGUUUCUGAUGAAGUCUUUUCGGACAGGAGUUCGACUCUCCUCACCUCCACCA